This 468-nucleotide ribosomal RNA is filed under the name uncultured bacterium. RNAcentral's name for it is "partial 16S ribosomal RNA". It matches the Rfam family "Bacterial small subunit ribosomal RNA", at positions 28 to 507 of the family's 1533-position model. The record is from RNAcentral.
GACGAACGCUGGCGGCGUGCUUAACACAUGCAAGUCGAACGGAAAGGCCCUGCUUUUGUGGGGUGCUCGAGUGGCGAACGGGUGAGUAACACGUGAGUAACCUGCCCUUGACUUUGGGAUAACUUCAGGAAACUGGGGCUAAUACCGGAUAGGAGCUCCUGCUGCAUGGUGGGGGUUGGAAAGUUUCGGCGGUUGGGGAUGGACUCGCGGCUUAUGAGCUUGUUGGUGGGGUAGUGGCUUACCAAGGCUUUGACGGGUAGCCGGCCUGAGAGGGUGACCGGCCACAUGGGGACUGCGAGACGGCCCAGACUCCUACGGGAGGCAGCAGUGGGGAAUAUUGCACAAUGGGCGGAAGCCUGAUGCAGCAACGCCGCGUGCGGGAUGACGGCCUUCGGGUUGUAAACCGCUUUCGCCUGUGACGAAGCGUGAGUGACGGUAAUGGGUAAAGAAGCACCGGCUAACUACGUG